ACACACAUCACACACCUUGAUGCUCACACAGUCACAGCCUGGCCUCUGCUCCUGUGGGCCAGUGGCCAGACAUCCCCUGGGAUGGCUCAAAGUGCCUUUCACAUCCUGCCAUGAUCCUGAGGCCUCCCCAGCCAUGUGGAGCUGGAAGGAUUCCGGGAGACAGAGGAGGAGACGCCAGCAUUUCGCCCCCGGCGCCUCCAGCGGGCUGCGGUCCGCUCCCGGCCUCACUCGAGCAGGCCCCGCCCUCCCAGAGGCCGUUAGUCCAAGUCAAGUGAUCGUGGACUCAGUUGACCCGGUGGGACCGGAAAAAGAAAUUCCCGGGCCCUGGCUUCCUGGCGCGAUGAUGAGGCACCAGGAGUGAAGCGAGGCGUGGGCUGCUGGAGCGGGAAUGAGGGGGCGCCAGUGGCUCCGGAAACGGGUGGAGGUUGUCUGCCCUGGACUCUCCGUAAACAGUGUGUGC
Molecule: long non-coding RNA, 460 nt
Filed under: Pongo abelii (Sumatran orangutan)
Lineage: Eukaryota; Metazoa; Chordata; Mammalia; Primates; Hominidae
Description: lincRNA
Source: RNAcentral